CCUACGGGGGGCAGCAGUGGGGAAUUUUGGGCAAUGGGCGAAAGCCUGACCCAGCAACGCCGCGUGCAGGAUGAAGGCCCUCGGGUCGUAAACUGCUGUCGGGAGGGAAGAACAGCAGCGGAAGGAACAUGGCCGCUGCCUGACGGUACCUCCAAAGGAAGCGCCGGCUAACUCCGUGCCAGCAGCCGCGGUAAUACGGAGGGCGCAAGCGUUGUUCGGAAUUACUGGGCGUAAAGCGCGUGUAGGCGGUCUGGCAAGUCGGAUGUGAAAUCCCCGGGCUCAACCCGGGAACUGCAUCCGAAACUGCUGGGCUAGAGUCCCGGAGAGGAAGGCAGAAUUCCCAAUGUAGGGGUGAAAUCCGUAGAUAUUGGGAGGAAUACCAGUGGCGAAGGCGGCCUUCUGGACGGUGACUGACGCUGAGACGCGAAAGCGUGGGGAGC
RNAcentral lists this ribosomal RNA (440 nucleotides) under uncultured bacterium. RNAcentral's name for it is "bacterial SSU rRNA". It matches the Rfam family "Bacterial small subunit ribosomal RNA", at positions 338 to 769 of the family's 1533-position model. The record is from RNAcentral.